GACGAACGCUGGCGGCGUGCUUAACACAUGCAAGUCGAACGGAAAGGCCCUGCUUUUGUGGGGUGCUCGAGUGGCGAACGGGUGAGUAACACGUGAGUAACCUGCCCUUGACUUUGGGAUAACUUCAGGAAACUGGGGCUAAUACCGGAUAGGAGCUCCUGCUGCAUGGUGGGGGUUGGAAAGUUUCGGCGGUUGGGGAUGGACUCGCGGCUUAUCAGCUUGUUGGUGGGGUAGUGGCUUACCAAGGCUUUGACGGGUAGCCGGCCUGAGAGGGUGACCGGCCACAUUGGGACUGAGAUACGGACCAGACUCCUACGGGAGGCAGCAGUGGGGAAUAUUGCACAAUGGGCGGAAGCCUGAUGCAGCAACGCCGCGUGCGGGAUGACGGCCUUCGGGUGGUAAACCGAUGUCGCCUGUGACGAAGCGUGAGUGACGGUAAUGGGUAAAGAAGCACCGGCUAACUACGUG
Molecule: ribosomal RNA, 468 nt
Filed under: uncultured bacterium
Lineage: Bacteria
Description: partial 16S ribosomal RNA
Rfam family: Bacterial small subunit ribosomal RNA
Source: RNAcentral